This 237-nucleotide ribosomal RNA is filed under the name uncultured beta proteobacterium. RNAcentral describes it as "partial 16S ribosomal RNA". It matches the Rfam family "Bacterial small subunit ribosomal RNA", at positions 1173 to 1407 of the family's 1533-position model. The record is from RNAcentral. Lineage: Bacteria; Pseudomonadati; Pseudomonadota; Betaproteobacteria.
GUGGGGAUGACGUCAAGUCCUCAUGGCCCUUAUAGGUGGGGCUACACACGUCAUACAAUGGAUGGUACAAACGGGUCGCCAAACCGCGAGGGGGAGCCAAUCCCUAUAAAACCAUUCGUAGUCCGGAUCGCAGUCUGCAACUCGACUGCGUGAAGUCGGAAUCGCUAGUAAUCGUGGAUCAGAAUGUCACGGUGAAUACGUUCCCGGGUCUUGUACACACCGCCCGUCACACCAUGG